GGUGUCGCCAAGCGGUAAGGCACUGGAUUUUGAUUCCAGUAUUCGUAGGUUCAAAUCCUGCCACCC
Molecule: transfer RNA, 66 nt
Filed under: bovine gut metagenome
Rfam family: tRNA
About the family: Transfer RNA (tRNA) molecules are approximately 80 nucleotides in length.
Source: RNAcentral